RNAcentral lists this unclassified non-coding RNA (282 nucleotides) under Hevea brasiliensis (rubber tree). Lineage: Eukaryota; Viridiplantae; Streptophyta; Magnoliopsida; Malpighiales; Euphorbiaceae. The record is from RNAcentral.
CACGAGAGGAGCACGAGCCCCAGCCAGAGACUGUUCUGGACGGCGCGGCGGAUGCCAUACACGAAGUACAGCACCCGCUUCCGGAGCAGGAAGUUGCGCUCGAUAAAGAAGAUCGCAAUCCGGAUCACCCAGCCGGAUACGAGCCUGCCGCAGAUAAGGACCAGCGUCAGCACCUCCCAUUUCCACACACGUAGGCUCCAGAUAGUGAAGCGCCUCGCAGGGGUGUAAGCAAGCGUGCAGGCGAGCCCAGCGAGGAUGAGGACGAGGAUGGCCCACUGGAGG